GGAGGGUGCAAGCGUUGUUCGGAAUUAUUGGGCGUAAAGAGCGUGUAGGCGGUUCGGUAAGUCAGAUGUGAAAGCCCUGGGCUCAACCCAGGAAGUGCAUUUGAAACUACCAGACUUGAGUACGGGAGAGGAGGGGGGAAUUCCCGGUGUAGAGGUGAAAUUCGUAGAUAUCGGGAGGAAUACCAGUGGCGAAGGCGCCCCUCUGGACCGAUACUGACGCUGAGACGCGAAAGCGUGGGGGAGCAAACAGGAUUAGAUACCCUGGUAGUCCACGCCGUAAACGAUGAGCACUAGGUGUAGCGGGUAUUGACCCCUGCUGUGCCGUAGCUAACGCAUUAAGUGCUCCGCCUGGGGACUACGGUCGCAAGACUAA
RNAcentral lists this ribosomal RNA (373 nucleotides) under uncultured organism. RNAcentral describes it as "partial 16S ribosomal RNA". It matches the Rfam family "Bacterial small subunit ribosomal RNA", at positions 527 to 897 of the family's 1533-position model. The record is from RNAcentral.